UAGUUUAAUUUAUAAUUCAAAAAAAAAAGCGACACGUCAGCAGCCACGUCAGCGGCCCAGUCAGCAGCCCUGGCCAACCAGGACCUGCCGCGUGGCAAGACCACGUCGACCAGGGAACGGGCCACGUCGGCGAUCCGCGUGCGCGCGAUCGAACGGCCCAGAUGCAUCCCCGCGCGCACGAACGCCCCAGAUCAAGCGUGCGCACGGACGGCCCAGAUGCAAUCGCACGGACGGCCCAGAUGCACGCGCACGGAC
This 255-nucleotide long non-coding RNA is filed under the name Carica papaya (papaya). RNAcentral's name for it is "long non-coding RNA (CPAP_LNC007339)". Lineage: Eukaryota; Viridiplantae; Streptophyta; Magnoliopsida; Brassicales; Caricaceae. The record is from RNAcentral.